AAAGAGUUAGUUAAAUAUAAUAUAAAUAUGUCAUAUUUAAGUUAUUAGUAUAAUCUAGUACUCUUUG
This 67-nucleotide transfer RNA is filed under the name Euclimacia badia. RNAcentral describes it as "tRNA-Asp". Lineage: Eukaryota; Metazoa; Arthropoda; Insecta; Neuroptera; Mantispidae. The record is from RNAcentral.